RNAcentral lists this ribosomal RNA (509 nucleotides) under uncultured bacterium. RNAcentral describes it as "partial 16S ribosomal RNA". It matches the Rfam family "Bacterial small subunit ribosomal RNA", at positions 28 to 506 of the family's 1533-position model. The record is from RNAcentral.
GACGAACGCUGGCGGCAUGCUUAACACAUGCAAGUCGAACGAAGAGCGAUGGAAGCUUGCUUCUAUCAAUCUUAGUGGCGAACGGGUGAGUAACGCGUAAUCAACCUGCCCUUCAGAGGGGGACAACAGUUGGAAACGACUGCUAAUACCGCAUACGAUCUAAUCUCGGCAUCGAGGAUAGAUGAAAGGUGGCCUCUACAUGUAAGCUAUCACUGAAGGAGGGGAUUGCGUCUGAUUAGCUAGUUGGAGGGGUAACGGCCCAACAAGGCGAUGAUCAGUAGCCCGUGUGUGCGGAAGGCAGGCCAACUGGGAACGGAGACCCGCCCCAGGCCCCUAAGGGGGGCAGGAGGGGGGAAUCUUCCCAAUAGGUGGAAGGUGUGACGGGCCAACGCCGCGUGGGUAUGAACGGCCUUCGGGUUAUAAAGCUUCGUUAAUCGGGACGAAGGGCCUUCUUCCAAAUAGUGAGAAGGAUUGGCGGUCCCGGUAUAGAAAGCCACGGCAAACCACGA